AUGACGGGCAUAUAUGGAGAACCAAGCUGGGAGCAUAAGGAUCGUACAUAUCAAUAUAUACGAGAUUCGCACGCCCAAUCUAGAUUACCUUGGGUCCUUCUUGGCGACUUCAAUGAGAUUUUACUGUCAUCAGAGAAGGAGGGAGGAGCACCGAGACAGCGUGCUCGUUUACAAGCCUUCCAGGAUACACUAACAGAUUGUGAUCUGGAAGACUUAGGAUAUGUGGGCGAUAAAUUCACGUGGUUCCGAGGCGGCCUUAAAGAGCGACUCGACCGCGCUGUGAUGAAUGGUGGUUGGAUGAACAUGCACCCAUAUGCUGGAUUGUGUAACUUGGAGAUGGGCAAAUCAGAUCACAGGCCUAUUUUGUUGGACACAGAAUAUCUUGCGGGAGUGGGAGAAGCAAAACCACAAUAUAAAAGGCGUUUCGAAGCUAGGUGGUUGGAGGAAAACACAGUGGAAGAGAUCGUCAAAACAGCGUGGCUCAAGGCGCAUCACCAAGGCCUCUGUGGCAAACUGCAUGAGAAGGUGGAUGCUGCCACCGUGACCUGCAUGAAUGGGAUAGGAAAGUACUUAAAGGCCCCCGAGUGCGCCUGA
Molecule: ribosomal RNA, 594 nt
Filed under: Triticum aestivum (bread wheat)
Lineage: Eukaryota; Viridiplantae; Streptophyta; Magnoliopsida; Poales; Poaceae
Description: partial small subunit ribosomal RNA
Source: RNAcentral